GAGUUUGAUUCUGGCUCAGAGUGAACGCUGGCGGCGUGCCUAAUACAUGCAAGUCGAACGGACAAGUAAGAGCUUGCUCUUAUGAGUUAGUGGCGCACGGGUGAGUAAUGUAUAGCUAAUCUGCCCUACACUAGAGGACAACAGUUGGAAACGACUGCUAAUACUCUAUACUCCUUCUUUACAUAAGUUGAGUCGGGAAAGUUUUUCGGUGUAGGAUGAGGCUAUAUCGUAUCAGCUAGUUGGUGAGGUAAUGGCUUACCAAGGCUAUGACGCGUAACUGGUCUGAGAGGAUGAUCAGUCACACUGGAACUGAGACACGGUCCAGACUCCUACGGGAGGCAGCAGUAGGGAAUAUUGCUCAAUGGGGGAAACCCUGAAGCAGCAACGCCGCGUGGAGGAUGACACUUUUCGGAGCGUAAACUCCUUUUCUUGGGAAAGAAUUAUGACG
This 448-nucleotide ribosomal RNA is filed under the name Campylobacter sp. canine oral taxon 283. RNAcentral's name for it is "bacterial SSU rRNA". It matches the Rfam family "Bacterial small subunit ribosomal RNA", at positions 9 to 457 of the family's 1533-position model. Lineage: Bacteria; Pseudomonadati; Campylobacterota; Epsilonproteobacteria; Campylobacterales; Campylobacteraceae. The record is from RNAcentral.